RNAcentral lists this ribosomal RNA (312 nucleotides) under uncultured bacterium. RNAcentral's name for it is "bacterial SSU rRNA". It matches the Rfam family "Bacterial small subunit ribosomal RNA", at positions 195 to 507 of the family's 1533-position model. The record is from RNAcentral.
CCACUAUUAAAGUUCCAACGGUGAAAGAUGAGCAUGCGUCCCAUUAGCUAGAUGGUAAGGUAACGGCUUACCAUGGCUACGAUGGGUAGGGGUCCUGAGAGGGAGAUCCCCCACACUGGUACUGAGACACGGACCAGACUCCUACGGGAGGCAGCAGUGAGGAAUAUUGGACAAUGGGCGCAAGCCUGAUCCAGCCAUGCCGCGUGCAGGAUGACGGUCCUAUGGAUUGUAAACUGCUUUUAUACAGGAAGAAACACUCCGACGUGUCGGAGCUUGACGGUACUGUAAGAAUAAGGAUCGGCUAACUCCGUG